RNAcentral lists this transfer RNA (20 nucleotides) under Saccharomyces cerevisiae YJM1208. Its description in RNAcentral is "tRNA-Arg". Lineage: Eukaryota; Fungi; Ascomycota; Saccharomycetes; Saccharomycetales; Saccharomycetaceae. The record is from RNAcentral.
GGAAUCCUCAAAAGGGAAUC